UACAGAGGUCUCAAGCGUUGUUCGGAUUCAUUGGGCGUAAAGGGUGCGUAGGCGGCGCGGUAAGUCGGGUGUGAAAUCUCAGAGCUCAACUCUGAAACUGCACUCGAUACUGCUUUGCUAGAGGACUGGAGAGGAGAUUGGAAUUCACGGUGUAGCAGUGAAAUGCGUAGAGAUCGUGAGGAAGACCAGUGGCGAAGGCGGAUCUCUGGACAGUUCCUGACGCUGAGGCGCGAAGGCCAGGGGAGCAAACGGG
This 253-nucleotide ribosomal RNA is filed under the name uncultured bacterium. Its description in RNAcentral is "partial 16S ribosomal RNA". It matches the Rfam family "Bacterial small subunit ribosomal RNA", at positions 524 to 776 of the family's 1533-position model. The record is from RNAcentral.